This 382-nucleotide ribosomal RNA is filed under the name Scrippsiella hangoei. Its description in RNAcentral is "partial Eukaryotic small subunit ribosomal RNA". It matches the Rfam family "Eukaryotic small subunit ribosomal RNA", at positions 1 to 388 of the family's 1831-position model. The record is from RNAcentral. Lineage: Eukaryota; Dinophyceae; Peridiniales; Peridiniaceae.
ACCUGGUUGAUCCUGCCAGUAGUCAUACGCUCAAGUCAAAGAUUAACCCAUGCAUGUGCAAGUAUAAACAUUUAUACUGUGAAACUGCGAACGGCUCAUUAUAUCAGCUAUAGUCUAUUUGGUAAUGUCUACUACUUGGAUACUCGUAGUAAUUCUAGGGUCAAUACAUGCAUAAAUGCCCAACUUUUCGGACGGGCAGUAUUUAUUUGAUAUAAACCAAUCGCUUCUGGCGUUUUGUGGUGAUUCAAAGUAACUAAGCGGACCGCAGUGCCUUUUGGCGGCGGUGGACCAUUCGAGUUUCUGCCCUAUCAGUUGUCGUAGGUAGUGUAUUGGACUACCUAGACCUUUACGGGUGACGGAGAAUUGGGGUUCGAUUCCGGAG